Non-coding RNA from Labrus bergylta (ballan wrasse), 269 nucleotides. The record is from RefSeq and is a predicted model, not a curated record. Lineage: Eukaryota; Metazoa; Chordata; Actinopteri; Labriformes; Labridae.
CUCCUCAUCAACUCAGCAGUAUAUAUAACCCCGGCUCUCCAUCCACUCAUUGCCAGAUCGUUGUGUCAACUACUGCGGAUCACCAUUCACCCACCUGCCUUCCUGCUCAGCCAUCUGCCUCAAACUGCUCUCUGGACUCAGGACCACUCAGCCACGCUCACACCCCUACUCUGGUCUGGUCAGCCUUCAUCCCCUUCACUCUGCUAACCUCCAGAAUCUUUAACCCAUCUUCAUCUCCAUUUGCCACAAUAAACCUCAUUACCAAUCGA